RNAcentral lists this ribosomal RNA (274 nucleotides) under uncultured bacterium. RNAcentral's name for it is "partial 16S ribosomal RNA". It matches the Rfam family "Bacterial small subunit ribosomal RNA", at positions 523 to 796 of the family's 1533-position model. The record is from RNAcentral.
AUACGGAGGUGGCAAACGUUGCUCGGAAUCACUGGGCUUAAAGGGCGUGUAGGCGGCGAAUUAAGUCGGAUGUGAAAUCUCCCGGCCCAACCGGGAAACUGCAUCCGAAACUGGUUUGCUAGAGUGCGGGAGGGGCAAGUGGAACUCCAGGUGUAGCGGUGAAAUGCGUAGAUAUCUGGAGGAACGCCGGUGGCGAAAGCGACUUGCUGGACCGCAACUGACGCUGAGGCGCGAAAGCUAGGGUAGCGAACGGGAUUAGAAACCCCGGUAGUCC